This is a long non-coding RNA of Triticum aestivum (bread wheat), 503 nucleotides long. RefSeq lists it as uncharacterized. Lineage: Eukaryota; Viridiplantae; Streptophyta; Magnoliopsida; Poales; Poaceae. The transcript is spliced from 3 exons. The record is from RefSeq and is a predicted model, not a curated record.
UCCACCGAGCCGGACACCGCGCGUCGCACGCGCGCACGCACGCCGAGGCCGACCCGGAUCGAUCCGGCGCCUGGUCGAUCCCGUGCGAGCCAGGGACAUCAUGCGCGAGCCCAGGACCCCGAAGAACCCUACCGCAGCCCCUUCUCCGUCCUUUCCUCGUCCGCAGCAGCUAGGGCGAAACGGAUCUCGCCGGAGGAGCUCCAAGUCCGCCGGACGCUGCCGUCGCCCAUCGCAGGAGGGACAAGCUCGUCCGCCGCCGCCGGAGCACAGCCGCUGUUCACGUCGUCAUCACCGCCCGCAGAGGACGCCCCGCCGCCGUUGAGCACCACCACCACCUCCGCCACUCCACGCCGCCUCCGCCCGUCACCUCGCCUUCGCCGGAGACCCACCGGAGGAGCGCCGCCGCCAACGCCCGAGACCACCGUCGUUUUCCUCUGUUUUGGAUUGUCCGGAGUGCGACACGAGCUAUUGUCAGGAGUGUGACUUUCUGAACCAGAACCAAG